AUACAUACCUUUUUCCAUAUUUUAGAUUAUUUUUCUGAGACAUAUUUGUCUAUGGCCACAUUGAGGCUUUCCUGUUGAGCCAUGUCAAACAUUUGAAUUUUAUCCUAAAAAUAUUCGGAAGCACAAAGGGAUUUCAAGCAAGGGAAUAGUAGAUUGAGAUUUAUGUUUCAGAAAUAAGACUAUCAUGGCAGUUAGAAGAUUGUAGAGAAAAAAAGAGAAGAGACAGAGAGAUUUAUUGGAAUUUAAAAAAAAAAAAAAAAAAAGCAGUUCGGGGAAUUGAUAACAAAGGCCUGGCCAAAGACGGUGGGAAUAAGAAAAUGGAUCGCAAAGUAUUUGUGACCCAGACUAGACAGGACCUGGUGACUGGCUGGAUGUGGGGUUAAGGAGAGGGUGGCAUUGAGAAGGAUCCUGAGCUUUCCAUCUCAAGACAACGGAGGUGAAGAGUAAAGGAGGAGUAGGUUGGGGAGGAAUCCUAUUUAGGACCUCUUGAGUUGGAAAUGCUUGUAAGACAUCCUGGUGGAGACACCUAAGAAGUAACUGAACAUGUGUUUGGUACUUUGGAGAAAAGCGAAAGCUUGAAAAGAAAAUGUACACUUAGGUUAAUUGUUAAAGUAGUUAUUAAGUGAUUUCAGUGGGUAAGACACCUGUUGCAAACUGUGAGAGACUCAAAUAAACAGAAAUGCAUUCUUCACCGGAUCCCGGAAGCUUAUAAUCAUCCUGCGUCACUAAAGCAAUUACCUUGUUAGGCUGUCAUUUCUCCAUUCACAUGUCUGCUUCUCCAAGCACACCGAGAUCCUCUCUGGGCCUAGGGCCCAGCUCUGUCCUUAUUCUCUUUUUAUCCUUUGUGAUAUGAUAUUCUCUUUCUUUCGCAUGCAAUAAAGGGCACAGUGCAAGGUCAUUAGCCAUUAAUGCUUAUGGAAAAAUGAGUGAGUGAAAGGAAGAGCUUAUGAGGGGGCAACAAAGGGCUAAGAAGUUUAGGUUGUGAAAGAGACCCCAUCUUAUACCAUACACAAAAAUAAAUUCCAGACAAAGUCAAGACUCAGAUGUAAAAACAAACAAAAAAGCUUUGUGGGAGCGCCCACUGUGAUGCAGGUUAAGGAUCCAGCAUUGUCUCUCCAGUGGUUUGGAUUGAUGCUGAGGCGUGGGUUUGAUCUCCUGCCCAGCACAGUGGGUUAAGCAUCCAGUGUUGCCUAGCUGUGGCAUAGGUCACAGCUGUGGCUGGAAUUUAGUCUCUGGCCCGGGAACUUCCUUAUGCCACGGCUCAGUGGGUUAGGAACUCGACAAGUAUCCAUGAGGAUGCAGGUUUGAUCCCUGGCCUUGCUCAGUGGAUUAAGGAUCUGGCAUUGCCCUCAGCUGUGGAGUAGGUCACGGAUAUGGUUCAGAUCUGGUGUGGCUGUGGCUGUGGUGUAGGCCAGCAGCUGUAGCUCUGAUUCGAUCCCCUAGCCUGGGAACCUCCAUAUGCCACAGGUGCAGC
RNAcentral lists this long non-coding RNA (1474 nucleotides) under Sus scrofa (pig). RNAcentral describes it as "lncRNA (ENSSSCG00065048526.1)". Lineage: Eukaryota; Metazoa; Chordata; Mammalia; Artiodactyla; Suidae. The record is from RNAcentral.